Centrocercus urophasianus (Greater sage-grouse) is the source of this 3575-nucleotide long non-coding RNA. RefSeq lists it as uncharacterized. The record is from RefSeq and is a predicted model, not a curated record. The transcript has 7 exons. NCBI's taxonomy places the organism in Eukaryota, Metazoa, Chordata, Aves, Galliformes, Phasianidae.
GAAAUGGUCUUCUUGAAAAUUACAAAUUAGACAAUCUUCAGAUUAGAGAGAAAGGUUUUUUUCCAAGUGUUUCAGUUCAUAGUUCUGUAUGAAAUGCUACCCGUAUGACAAGAAUCGUUUACAGAGAUGAAGAUCUUUGUCCCUGGGUCAAGGGUGUUAGGAAAGAAUGUGUCGGAGGAUAACCAACAUGUAUGUUAGGCUCAUUUAGAUUCUUACAAGGGGAGAAAUGAUCACAUCGGGCAGUAUCUUUGUGAAGAAUGAAUUGUACCAGGAGAAGUUACAUGAAUUUGAACAAAGUAACGCAUUCUGACAGUGACUGCUAUCGAGCACUUUCUACACAUGUAGAUUGACGGAUGAAUUGUAAAUGGUGCUGUGAAUAAGAAGCUCUAUUCAGAAGUCUGAGCCAUGAAACUGAGACCCAGAUUUACCAACAAUUGCAGGCACUUCAAGGAAGAAGGCUCUGCAAAUACCCUUUUCUUUUUGGUUUGGAAGGGAUGGAAAACUGAGAGCUGCUGCAAUUGCCCAGGAAUGUAUUUUAAGAUGCCUCUUCCAGCCCAACUAUCAUUCUCCUUCCAGUCCAAAGUGUGGCAUCUGACAAUUAAAAUGCAUCCAUGGAGAAACUUUAAAGGCAAUUCUUCAGUAAAUUGGAGGAGGAUGUGUCCCCCUGUGAUUGUGAAGAAAUCUGGGACUGCUUAGAAUCAAUUUGUCAUAGCCUGUGAAUCCAUUAAGGUUUGGACCUGCAGUUGGACCUGCAGGAAAAUCCAGGAACAGUAACUUUUUUCAGAAGUUACUCCUUAAUCUCGUCAUCUACCUCAAGAAGUUGUGCUUUCUCUUUGGAGAGAGGGAAUUUUAUGAUUCUAUAGUGUCUUUUUGUUAGAAGUUUUUAGAUCAGCUGCAAGUGGAUGAUGCAGAGGCUCCAUGUAAUUCCUGUGAUAUGUGUUUUGACCACUUUUUCCACAAAAUGGAGAGCUGUGCAGUCAGGAGUAUUCAUGAGAUUGAAUUUACAAGCUGGUGAUCCAGAUCUCUACUGUUUGACAUCUUUGCAAAUUAUUCCCUUGGGCAUUAGCUUCCUAUGAUAUCAUCUUUAUUAAACAAUGAGAGCAGUAUUUCAUGAUAUCAUGCAUUUUUUUCUGAAGACUUGGCAUGUUCUCUAAAGUUAGGGCGAAUCUCGUGAAGAUACUUCAGAAGUAUGUGUUUUUUCCUUGAUAUUUGUUUAGACUUUGAACUUGCCCUUGAAAUGCUUGGUUUCUUAACACCUUUUAUCUGUAUGCUUCUUCUUCCUUUGUUAGAUUUAGGGACUUUCUGCAGAAUUAAGGUUUAAUCAAAAUAAGAACUUUUAAAAUAUGAGAAAUUGAGUGCACUUUGGCUUGAGAAGAUAUUAAGCUUACCUUCAAGUGAUCAAAAUCCGAAAUCAUGUAUGAGUUAAUGCUGUAUCUACAAAAAGUUUCUUCAGUGAUUGCAGUUGGUCUAUCUCUAGCACUGGUCAAGAUUUUUAUUUCUUUUUCUUUUUCCAUAUAGCAAUUAUCAUGAUGGUAGAAGUUUUAAAGUAAGAAACUGUGAUCUAAAAGAAAGCUUUGAUUUUAUUUAUUUAUUUUUUUUCCUUCAGAGACAAACAGGGGGAGAUCUUUCAUAUGACUAUACAUGCAAUUGUGAGAGAAACUAUCCAAUCAGAAAAUGCUGGUUUGUGGGAGAAAACAAGAUACUUAUGAUUGAAUGUCUCAUUGAAAAUCUUCUUUGUGGCUCAGGAUGCAAGAUUCUGUGAUGCUAUUGGAGUGAAAAUUCUUGAUUUAUUUUGCUUUGAAUAGUCUGUCCAGCAAGUAGGGAUGUGACCUUUGGUUAGAAUUCUUUCUUCCAUCCCUGACAAUGUAAAGUAAUGGAAACCAGUGAAAAGUAAUGAAAAUACCAGCGCAUUUUCACACGAACUGAGUGUUCUACUUCUGUCUCAGCUUUAUGUUAAUGGCUGAUUAUUGAGAGUUAAUUCUGCCACCCCAUUUACAAGAUAAAAUGCUUCUCAUUAUGAGUGAAUCCUAAACAAUGCUGUAAUCAAUACAAAUGAAAAGUUGGUCUGUCGCACUGGUGGCUAAUACUCACAUGAUAGCGAUUCAAAGUAUAUUCUUGUGCAUUUUGGUCAGAUCUUCAGCUGCUGAUUUCGCUCUGAUUUAGUUAUGUUCUUGUAUAAUGGUAUUCAUCAGAACAUCUGAGUUCAUUAAAUAAUGUGAUUUGUGUCAUGAGUUGAAUUUUUUUUUCUUUUUUUAUCUUAUCUUUACCCAAGGGAGAAAAUUGCUUGUGGGGAAGAUUGCCUUUGAACGUUCUGAUCCUUUAUUAUAUUUAUGGUACUACUCUCUGUGUAUUACUGUGUAUUUUAGUCUUCUCUAUAUCUGGACAAUCUGCACCAGUUUUCAUUGCUGGUUGUUAUGUUGUUGAAGACCUUAUUUCUUUGUAUCUCCCCAGCUGAGGUGCUUUAUGAGUGUUUUAUUUUUCUUUUGUACAAAAGUAAACUACUACAACUUCUUAUAUGAGGUUCAAUGCAGUAUAAGCACAGGUUUAGGAGUUAAUCCCAUUCAAUGUCAUAUUGAAAUAAAUGAAUGAAGAGCUCUGUUUUUUAGCUACUUUGGAAUGAUGCCAUAGUACUUGAAUGGAGUAUUGCAUCCCAAAUAUUAUAUUCACCAAAUUCAGUAUGUUUACACAUGAUUUCUACUAAUCGAGUUCUUUGGAAGAAGCUACUGAUACUUAGACUCUGGGAUUAAUUUGGAGCUGGGGCUGGUCGUGUUUCAGUUUGUCUUGAGGUCUCUAGAAAGAUCACAGUCUGAAAUAGGAGUGGAAAUAGAAGGAUGCUUAUGUGACUAUGAAUGAACAUAUUCCUCUGAAUAAACUUAGCACCAGUAUUCAUGAAAACGAAUUUCAAUAUCACUUGAAUGAAUAAAGUAUAAUGAGGACCAGGAGUUUCUGCCUUUAUUGAUACAAUUCAUUUUAAAGAUAUUAAAAUAAGUACUCCGCUGUUUGUGUAAAAAUAACUGUGUUGUACAGUGUACAGCUUGUGGAAUUCUUGUAUGGAAACUCUCAUUCAGCAUCCUUCUGCAACUUCCAGUGUAUGUCUGUGUAACAAAAUUUUGGAUUCAUAAUGUGGUCAUGUGAAAGAGAUCAAAAAUAUGGUUUUACUAUCGAAAGGAUAGACUGGUCGUGAGUCUCAGAUGUGUUUAUAUCCAUGGCUACUCUGCCAAAAUCUCAGUUACUUAAAAUAAAUAAAAUAAAAUCUGUGUUAUUUUAGGCUCUCAAGAUUUAGAUUCCUAGGAAGAAAUAAAAACCAUUUCUGUGAAAUGGAAAAUGAAGGAAGAAGUACGGCAUUGGAAAAAGUUGAUGGACAACAAGAAGGGAUCAUUUUGAUUUGUUCUCAUUUUAUGAAGCAUAGAUUUUACAAAUGUAUGGAUUUUGUGGUAUUAAAGAAGAGCCUAUUAGCUACAGCUGAUCUAAAUCUCAAACAUUCUGAUGCUAUCAGUGAAACAAAAAUACUUUGGUGUUUUUUUUUGCUAUUAACAUUAUAGAAAUCUUCAUAUAUGGGUGUGAAAUCUUUUUAA